GAUAAACGCUGGCGGCGCACAUAAGACAUGCAAGUCGAACGGACUCAACCUAUUGAUUUAUCGAUAGGAGCGGUUAGUGGCGGACUGGUGAGUAACACGUGGGCAACCUACCUUUAAGAGUGGAAUAACAGUGAGAAAUCACUGCUAAUACCGCAUAAUAUUAUUUUAUUGCAUGAUAGGAUAAUCAAAGGAGCAAUCCGCUUAGAGAUGGGCCCGCGACUGAUUAGCUAGUUGGAGUGGUAGAGGCACACCAAGGCGACGAUCAGUAGCCGGACUGAGAGGUUGAACGGCCACAUUGGGACUGAGAUACGGCCCAGACUCCUACGGGAGGCAGCAGUCGGGAAUAUUGCACAAUGGAGGGAACUCUGAUGCAGUGACGCCGCGUAUAGGAAGAAGGUCUUCGGAUUGUAAACUAUUGUUUUAAGGGAAGAGAAAGGACAGUACCUUAAGAGAAAGCUCCGGCUAACUACGUGCCAGCAGCCGCAGUAAUA
RNAcentral lists this ribosomal RNA (491 nucleotides) under uncultured bacterium. RNAcentral describes it as "bacterial SSU rRNA". It matches the Rfam family "Bacterial small subunit ribosomal RNA", at positions 28 to 525 of the family's 1533-position model. The record is from RNAcentral.